GACGAACGCUGGCGGCGUGCUUAAUACAUGCAAGUCGAGCGAGAAGCCACCGCUCCGUAAGGAGUGGUGGUGGACAGCGGCGAACGGGUGAGUAACACGUGGGUAAUGUGCCUUGGACACAGGGAUAACAGUGGGAAACCGCUGCUAAUACCUGAUAACCACGAUAGAUCGCAUGAUCGGUCGUGCAAAGCUCCGGCGGUCCAAGAUCAGCCCGCGGUGUAUCAGCUUGUUGGUGGGGUAACGGCCUACC
RNAcentral lists this ribosomal RNA (250 nucleotides) under uncultured bacterium. RNAcentral describes it as "partial 16S ribosomal RNA". It matches the Rfam family "Bacterial small subunit ribosomal RNA", at positions 28 to 269 of the family's 1533-position model. The record is from RNAcentral.